AACGAACGCUGGCGGCAGGCCUAACACAUGCAAGUCGAGCGGACCUUUCGGGGUCAGCGGCGGACGGGUGAGUAACGCGUGGGAAUAUGCCCUUCUCUACGGAAUAGUCCUGGGAAACUGGGGGUAAUACCGUAUACGCCCUUUGGGGGAAAGAUUUAUCGGGGAAGGAUUAGCCCGCGUUGGAUUAGGUAGUUGGUGGGGUAAUGGCCUACCAAGCCGACGAUCCAUAGCUGGUUUGAGAGGAUGAUCAGCCACACUGGGACUGAGACACGGCCCAGACUCCUACGGGAGGCAGCAGUGGGGAAUCUUAGACAAUGGGGGCAACCCUGAUCUAGCCAUGCCGCGUGAGUGAUGAAGGCCUGAGGGUUGUAAAGCUCUUUCAGCUGGGAAGAUAAUGACGGUACCAGCAGAAGAAGCCCCGGCUAACUCCG
Molecule: ribosomal RNA, 431 nt
Filed under: uncultured bacterium
Lineage: Bacteria
Description: partial 16S ribosomal RNA
Rfam family: Bacterial small subunit ribosomal RNA
Source: RNAcentral